This is a long non-coding RNA of Gorilla gorilla gorilla (western lowland gorilla), 5162 nucleotides long. RefSeq lists it as uncharacterized. The transcript has 3 exons. The record is from RefSeq and is a predicted model, not a curated record. Lineage: Eukaryota; Metazoa; Chordata; Mammalia; Primates; Hominidae.
GCCUUGCCCCUUCCCUGUCUCCUCCCUGGGAGAAGGCAGAGCAAUGGUUACACACGGCGUGUACACAAACAAGACACGCAAGCACCCCUGAGGCCUGGGCGCACCACUCACGGCGGGCCUUGGGCCAAGCUCCCCAGCGUGGUCACUUGUCCAAUUGGAAGCAGAUCCUGUCACACAGCUUGGCACAUAGCAAGUGCUCCAGAAGUGCUCACGGAUUGAAUAAACGGACCUAGUGGUGCGUGCCAGUUUCUGGUCCCCAAGGCGAUACAGACAAGCCAGAGGUGCUUCCUAUCUUGUCCUCAAGGAAUUUGCAGAGUGGUGGGGGAGACAGAGCCACAAUCAACCAGCAGGACAAGGCAUCAUCACCAUUAUCAUCAUCAUGGCUGGCUGGGGUCGAAAAACCGGUGGACAAUGCUUUCAUCAUCUCCUGUUUACACAAUGAAAGUGGGACACAAAGGGGUUAAGUGACUUGGCCAACAUCACACAGCUGUUAUGUGCAGAUGGGAGCAAGUGAUCAAUGACAGCGAAAGCACAGGGCUGUGUGGAUGCUGGGCAGGGAAGUCUGAGGGUUGAAGCCUUCUCAGAAGUGCCUUGGAAGGUGGAUCUGAUACACUGGGUAGAGAGGGGGGAAAGUGGAGUGGUCAGGAAUAACACUUUACGAUGUUGUGGAAGCCGUGAAGCACCAUGCAGGUGUCUGGAGUUACCGCAGCUGCCCUCAUCCCUCAGCCAGUACCCAGGGACUUGGGUGUGUAAGCAUCAACUCUCCCUGCCUCCUCCCGGGGAAAGGAGCUAACAUGAAUCUCUUCCCCAUGGGGUGCUUCUCAACCCUCCCUUCCUGCCUAAGUCAGGGUCUGUACUUUCCUCCCAAGUGGGAAGGCCAAAUCUCCUGCAGAAAGCGGUGGCCUCCAGGGUGCACCUGGGUGAACCUAGUAGUGACCCUGGUGGAGUGCCCAGUGCCCAUGCCUGCUGGCAAACUUCCUCCUCAGCAGCCUUCAGGACUCAGUUCUAGCCUCAUCUCCCCUGUGACUCAGUAUGGAGGAAACUGUACAGCUUUAAAACUGGGCAACCUGAGUUCUAGCUCUGCUUCUGAAUUGUGUGGCCUCGGAUGAAGUCUUGCUCUGUCACCCAGGCUGAAGUGCAGUGGUGUGAUCUUGGCUGACUGCAAACUUCCCCUCCCAGGUUCAAGCGAUUCUCCUGCCGCAGCCUCCUGGGUAGCUGGGAUUACAGGUGUAUGCCACUGUGUCCGGCUAAUUUUUGUAUUAUUAGUAGAGAUGGGUUUUCACCAUGUUGGCCAGGCUGGUCUUGAACUCCUGAUAUCAAGUGAUCUGCCCGCCUCGACCUCCCAAAGUGCUGGGAUUACAGGCGUGAGCCACUAUGCCUGACCGGGUCUUGUAUUAUCUUGCAUUUUGGUUUGUUGAUGUAGAGCUUUGUAAACAUUUCAAAGACUCUUUGUUAGGAAUUGGCAGAGGUCAAGGGAGAUCCCUGGAUCAAGCAGGACCUAAGCCAAUACCAGAGUCGGAGAGCCAGGAGCGAGAUGUAGAGCCAUUGGCAUCAAAGUGUUAUCAAAGUCCAAGCAAGAAGUCAGGACUGAGGGUGGAAAGGAGAAGGACAAGCCCUAUCAGAAGCCAGGGCUGAGUCUGAUGAACCUGUUCAGAUGCCACCAGACAGAGCAGGAGGGCAGCAGAGCAACCCCCACUUCUAGUCCAGCAGCUCUUCGAGUGUGGUCCUGGAUCAGCAACAUCAGCAUGGCCCAGGACUGUGUUUGAAACGCCAAUUCUUAGGCCCCACCACAAAGCCACUGAAUCAGAAACCUGGUGGCGAUGGGGCCCAGCAUCUGUGUUCUAACACAUCCUCCAGAUAAUUCUAAUGCCUGCUAUCAUCUGAGAACCUCUUUUCUAGACCACACCUUUGGACAAUGUUUGGUCUGACAGAGUCUGGAGCCCUGCAGGUGCCAUUCUCCUUGGAGUCCCAGACCUGUCUGGCAGGCAGGGGCCCUCUUGCAUUCUGAGGAACCUCUUCCACAGAUGUCAGGCUGAGUUUUGGGGAAGCACAGUUUUUGGGAAGCACGGCCUUCUACAUCUCAGUUAUUUCCAAAUGGAUUCCAACCUCUUCAUGUGGAGUGGGAGAGCCAUGUUCUGCUUAGAGUUCUAUAAGGACCUCCAUUUCCCCAAGGAGCCCAUCAUUGUGGUGGUGGGAAUUCCUCUUGUUGUCUUCAGGGGGCCCUACCUUUGCUGGGUCAGGAAGGGGAGGUCAGGCCAACAUCUAGAUUCUGACAGAAUCUUCCUGCACGACGGGAAUUACAACAUCUAUUCAACAACACAAAAGUCAGUGCCACUGUGGACAUCAGACUGAAGUCUGAGAUCUUCCUGGAGACCAGCUGGCCAAAAGAUGUCAUUGAUGCCUAGCUCUGGGCAGGCAGAAGAGACCCGGAGCCUGUUACAAAUGCCUUCUCCUUCUUCUUGGAGUUGGUUCUGGCUUUCAUAAUUCACAGUGGAUCCAGAGUUGCAGAGAUAAUUCUUAGUCUUGGGCCAUUCUGGAUAUAUCAUUCUUCAUCAUAGACCAUUCUGGAUACGUCUUUGUGGCCAAAAAAGAGUUAAAUGGCUGCAAGGUUGUUGAUUUGUUUACAAAAAAGAAGAAGAAGAAGAAAGAAGAAGAAGAAGAGGAAGAGGAAGAAGAGGAAGAAAACUGCUCAGAAAGGACAAGAAAAGCUUUGUUUCCUAGCCAUUAACUGAAAACUACUUUUCUUAGGACAGGUUGACCUCUAAAGUGUUGACUGAUCCAUCCAGAAAAAAAUGUAGAUAAAUGAUGUCUCUUUUUAGCAUUUCUUACCAAUAAACAAGGUGGGAAAGAAGGAAUUUCACCAAGAUAUCAGCAGAAACAUAACUUUGGAGGAGAAAUAAUUUCCUCUUCAUUACCAGUUAAUGAAAACAAGCUUCUGCCCACCAGCACUCUGAAUUGCUGUCACUGUGGUGAGGUGGUGUGACGGGAACUUGGGGUAACGCCUUAGGCCUCUGGCAAGGAUUCUUACAUCAGAGCUAAUAGGUGAAUGUGUCUCAUUCAAGGUGGGUGCUGCUCUGUGCUAAGUCUUGGGCAUGGAGCCAUUGUAUCUGUACAGAAAACACUUGACUAGGCACCAUGGGGACACCAGGAGAGAAAGACCCGGAUCCUGCCCUCGGUUUAAGUCAUGGAUUAUGUUCAUAUCACUAUAUGAAUUACAUAAACCAGUGAAAUCUAUUUGUAUAGAUGAGAUCAUUCAUUCACUUAUUCAUUCAGCACAUCUUUAUGGAGCACCCAUGAUUUAUGUAGCCACUUUGGGGGUCCAGAAAAGUCAACAUAACCCAAGUUUCCCAGGCUCCAGGACAGUGCUGGGGUCACACUAAUGAUAAUGGCCAUAUUUUCUGGUUCUUGUCUCUACUAUUCAGUGAGCACUUCUAGCACCAUGCCCCCCACCCACUGCUCCAGUCAAAUUCUCACUCAGUUUGCAUCUAGGAGUUUUCAAGCGUGGCCAACAUGUACUCAUUAAGCAGGCUGUAAGCCAUGGUUAGAUUGCAGCAUCUUCCAUAAUCUUCCCACCCAGCUUUGCACCCUCCCCUCCCCAACCCUUGAUGUUCAUUACCUAAGAAGCUUUGUAAAAAAACUUUUCAAGUAUUUGUGGCUAGUGCCCACUACAAAAAUUGCUGCUGUCCACGCCAGGGGGUUAGCAGCUCCUAAAGCUGCCAUCUCUCGAGGCACAGAACAGUGCUACCUUUCCUCUGUAAUGAGGAAAAUGCCUGACUCCACCCUGUUCAACAGUGUGCCAUCUGUACUCUAUUCUGUUCCAUUGGCCUACGGCCUGUUUCUUGACCAGUAUCACACCAUGUUGGUUAUUAUAGUUCCAUGUAAGUCUUACAUCAGAAUGUGUGAGUCCUCCAACUUGGUUCUUUUUCAAAAUUGCUUUGUUUAUUCUAGCUCCUUUGCCUUUUCAUAUAUAUUUUAUUUGUUUAUUUGUUUAUUUAUUUAUUUUUAAGACAAAGUCUCACUCUGUCACCCAGGCUAGAGUGCAGUGGUGCAAACUUGGCUCACAGCAACCUCUGCCUCCUGAGUUCAAGCAAUUCUCCUGCCUCAGCCUCCCGAGUAGCUGGGGCAACAGGUGUGUGCCACCACGCCCAACUAGUUUUUGUAUUUUUAGUAGAGAUGGGGUUUUGCCAUGUUGGCCAGGCUGGUCCUGAACUCUUGACCUGAAGUGUUCUGCUCACCUCAGCCUCCCAAAGUGCUGGGAUUACAGGCGUGAGUCACCACACCCAGCCUCCAUAUACAUUUUAGAAUGUCUUUCCAUAUGUAUAUUUCAGCCUGUCAAUUUAUUUAAACAAAAACCUGCUGGGAUUUUCACUGGGAUUACACUGAAUUCAUAGAUGAGUUUGAGGAGAGAUGACAUUUUAAGAAAAUUGGGUCUGCCAAUUCGUGACCAAAGUUUGGUCUUUGAUUUCUUUAAUCAGUGAUUUGUGGUUUUCAGCAUAAAGAUUCCACACAAAACAUAAUUUUUUUAGACUUAUGCCUGAGUAUUACAUAUUUUGGUAAUAUUGUAAAUGGUGCUUAACAUUUUUAAAAAUUUCUGAUUGGUUAUUGCUAGUACCUAAAAAUACAAUCGAUUUCUUUUGUAUUGACUGUAUAUUUUCUGUGAAAUUGCUAAAUUCAUUUCUAGUAACUUGUAUUUUCCUUGGACUUUUCUACAUAGAAAAGCGUGUUAUCUGUGACUAGAAACAGUUUUAUUUCACUUUUCCCACUCAUGUGCCUUUCAUGUCUUUUCCUUGCCUGAUUGCACUUUCCAGGCCCUCAAGUAUAAAGAUGAGAAGGAAGGACCUUGCUCUCAAUCUUAAGGGAAAAGCUUUCAGUCUUUGACCAUUAUAUAUGGAUGUUACUUGCAGGUCCAUUUCACUUCAGUUGUCAAAUUUAUAUGUGUAGGGUUAUUUAUAGCACUCUUUCAUUAUCCUUUUGAUGCGUGCAGGGUCUUUAGUUAUAUCCCUUACUUCAUUCCUGAUACCAGUAAUUUGCGUCUUCUCUCUUUUUCUUUGUCAGUCUUGAUAGAGGACUGUCAAUUUUAUUGAUGUUUUGGAAGAAUUGGCUGUUUGUUCCAUUGAUUUUCUCUAUUGUUUUUGUUUUCAAUUUCAUUGAUUUCUGCUCCU